AGACGAGACACAAAGUGUGAGAGCACGAAGAACAACCUACACGGCCCUGCCCUGGGCCUGCAACCUCACAGGAGCAGCAGUGUCACCCCCCUUCCCUUCAGCGAGGGCUGUCCCCUCCCAACAAGCUGUGAGAAGGGGGAGCCCCAAACAACACCUUUCUUGCCUGCCCUACAAGCCCCUUGUCCUGUUCCAGUCCCCAGCAUGAGGCUGCUGGGCAAGCAGGAGCUCUGGGGGGCUGAAACCCAGAGCCAAUGUGUGUCAUCAAACUUGGCACCACUGGCUGCCAGGGAGAUCUGCUCCUUUCUGUUUCUCUCGCUCACCUGCAGCCCUCAAUGAGCCAGUUCAGGUGCCUGAACAGGCAGAAAAUCAACCCAGCUGGAACAAGUUAAGUUUUCAGCAGGUUCUCAUGCCUGAGCUGGUUCAUGGUGGGCUUGGACCAUCUCUUUCAGGGCAGCACGAUGGGGCAGUGCCUCGGCCAUCCUGCAAAAGCCCACGAGCUGCUGGCAUGAAGGAAACCCUGGUCCUGUCCCCCCAGCUUGCACAGAAGCUGCAGAGAUGAGUCUCUUCUGCCAAGGCACAGCUUACACACAAAAGGCAGCAAAGCAUCCAACCAAGCAGCUGGAGCUCCUGCCUCUCUGCACAAUGCACCAGGAUACAAAGUACCUUCUGCAGGACCAGCGUUCAGACCCAUCGAAUACCUCAGCCUGCCUUCAGUCUGGGGCGAAGGAUGGACAGUGCUUGCUGACACCUCAGACCAUGGCCCCUGCUUCUCAGUGCCCCUGUGCAGUGCUCAGCAGCACUUCAGCUGCUCUUUCAGCUCCAAGGAAGUCUGAGACAUUUGCCUGCAGGUGGGUGGGGAGGAGCACUGAACCUCCUUGAGUUUGCUUCUGCUAAAAGCCAACCUCAGCUGCUGCCACCUCACUCUCCUGCACCUCGUGCUCCGUUCUGGGAUGUGAAGCUGCACUGAGACAGUUGAGGGCAGAUGUGUGUGACCCUUAGCAAGGGCAACCUCCCUAACACAGACUAGACAGCUCACUGCAGGAAAAUUUGGAAGUCUGGGUUCCUGGAAAGCCACUCUGACCAGGUCUGCAGCAGCCCUCCACCAUCAGCCCACAGGGAUGGCAGAACAAGCCUGAUUAAACCGACUGCAGCUUUGCUGCUCUCUUCCACGGCAAAGCAAGGUCAGGCUGAGCUGCACGCAGGCAUCUCAAGUUUCUUCAACCACCCCACAAAGCAGAACCCAAACACAUGGAGCUUGACCUAUUUUCUGCAAAAGCUACACGAUCACAGACUGAUUUAGGGCAGUGGUGGACGUUGCUUCACCUGCACAUGGGAAGUGGAGCUCAUCCUGGAGCUCUGAAGCCUGGGUACGUUGGGAACAACAGCAUGCUGGAGACCUUCAGCAGCCUGGCCUGAACGCUGCACAGGCUGCACGUGGCACGCUGGGCUCAGGGUCUCUCUAGUACUUAUGCUUGGUAUUAACAGUUCAGGCAAAAAUAAUUACUUUGGACCCUUGGGGAUGCAUUUUUCUUCCUUUUUAUGAAAUAAAACCGUCCUCCUCUGCACACAUAAAGCAUGUGUGUUAAAUUCAGAACUAAGUCCUGGUUUUUUUCUUUUCAGAUUGAAAUUGCUCAGAACCUUGCUCCUAACAUCUGACUUCAGGAGUAGGUGUACGUUUAUCAGCACCAGAGUUUAGGCUCUCCUCUCUUGUGGAGAGGCACAUAAGCUUGUACACACACACACACAUGCUGGCACAGGCACAAUGAAAAAGCGUUUGCUCCCCCACUGCUCACCUGCCAGCUGGGGUUACUAAACUUUUCCCUUGAAAUAAAAAUGCUGUGGAAUAAUAAGUCCCACCUGUCGGCCAGUUCUUUCUUUCUUUUUUUCCAGGUCCUUCUGCUCCUUUCAUCAUAGCUACAUGGAAAAGCCUUGAUGUGUUAUAGCUGUGUGUGCUAGAGUAAAGGCCACCUCAGCUUUUCCAUUAUAAACCCCAGUUUUGAGGGGUUUAUAAAACUCUGCUGCAAGAAGUUUGCUCCAGGGCUGUUAACAAAGCAAAGAAACGGGGCUGGAACCAGGAUGGAGUUUAUUUUUUCUCCUCCUUUCUUAAUUAAAAUUUGGCAAGUGAUUGAUCCACAAUACAGGCUAAUCACUUGGGGUAGUAGUUUGAAAAAUACAUUAACGAGAGUUGAGAUGUUGAAAAGUCGUUAGGGCUUACAUGGUGCCAGGAAGGAUUGGAGGAGUUUGUCUUAAAGUUGCCUCUUAAAAAAAAAUGGUGUGACGUCUGCUAUAAAUUGGCUAAAGCAGGGAAACUCAAAAGGAAGGAUUUUAGGCACUUCCUGCUGUCCUGUGGGUCUAAAAAUGGGCAAUUUCCAAGCACAACAUGCCACCAGGCACAGAG
Neopelma chrysocephalum (saffron-crested tyrant-manakin) is the source of this 2398-nucleotide long non-coding RNA. RefSeq lists it as uncharacterized. The record is from RefSeq and is a predicted model, not a curated record. Lineage: Eukaryota; Metazoa; Chordata; Aves; Passeriformes; Pipridae. The transcript is spliced from 3 exons.